GAUGAACGCUGGCGGCGUGCCUAACACAUGCAAGUCGAACGAAUCUCGUCUGGAUUCUUCGGAUGACGGACGAGGUUAGUGGCGAAUGGGUGAGUAACACGUAGGUGACCUGCCCCGAUGUGGGGAAUAUCCACUGGAAACGGUGGUUAAUACUCCAUGUGAUCGGCGAUUCGGUUCGUCGAUUAAAGCCUCGGCGCGUCGGGAGGGGCCUGCGGCCCAUCAGGUAGUUGGUAGGGUAAUGGCCUACCAAGCCGAUGACGGGUAGCUGGUCUGAGAGGAUGGUCAGCCACACUGGAACUGAAACACGGUCCAGACUCCUACGGGAGGCUG
RNAcentral lists this ribosomal RNA (330 nucleotides) under uncultured Chloroflexota bacterium. RNAcentral's name for it is "bacterial SSU rRNA". It matches the Rfam family "Bacterial small subunit ribosomal RNA", at positions 28 to 351 of the family's 1533-position model. Lineage: Bacteria; Bacillati; Chloroflexota. The record is from RNAcentral.